Microtus oregoni (creeping vole) is the source of this 159-nucleotide small nuclear RNA. RefSeq annotates it as U1 spliceosomal RNA. The transcript has a single exon. Lineage: Eukaryota; Metazoa; Chordata; Mammalia; Rodentia; Cricetidae. The record is from RefSeq and is a predicted model, not a curated record.
GUACUGGAAGAGGAGAUACCAUGAUCACUAAGGUGGUUUUCCCAGGGCAAGGCUUAUCCAUUGCACCCCAGAUGUGUUGACCCCUGCAAUUUCCCCAAAUAUGGGAAACUCAACUGCAUAAGUUGUGGUAGUCGGGGACUGCGUUCAUGCUCUCUCUUG